RNAcentral lists this small nuclear RNA (188 nucleotides) under Felis catus (domestic cat). RNAcentral's name for it is "U2 spliceosomal RNA (ENSFCAG00000039119.3)". It matches the Rfam family "U2 spliceosomal RNA". From Rfam's summary of the family: U2 is a small nuclear RNA (snRNA) component of the spliceosome (involved in pre-mRNA splicing). Complementary binding between U2 snRNA (in an area lying towards the 5' end but 3' to hairpin I) and the branchpoint sequence (BPS) of the intron results the bulging out of an unpaired adenosine, on the BPS, which initiates a nucleophilic attack at the intronic 5' splice site, thus starting the first of two transesterification reactions that mediate splicing. Lineage: Eukaryota; Metazoa; Chordata; Mammalia; Carnivora; Felidae. The record is from Rfam by way of RNAcentral.
AUCGCCUCUUGGCCUUUUGGCUCAGAUCAAGCGUCGUGUCUGUUCUUACCAGUUUUAUAACUGAUACAUCCUCUCUCUGAGGGCAAUAUAUUAAAUGGAUUUGGGGAGCAGGGAGAUGGCCUAGGAGCUUGCUCCGUCCCCUCCAUGCAUCGAGCUGGUUAAAAAAAACGAGAAGAGGGGCGCCUGGG